RNAcentral lists this ribosomal RNA (517 nucleotides) under Nematobrachion flexipes. Its description in RNAcentral is "partial 16S ribosomal RNA". It matches the Rfam family "Bacterial large subunit ribosomal RNA", at positions 1829 to 2597 of the family's 2925-position model. Lineage: Eukaryota; Metazoa; Arthropoda; Malacostraca; Euphausiacea; Euphausiidae. The record is from RNAcentral.
GUUUUCAUGUAUAUUAUUUAUGAAAUUUAACCUGCCCACUGAUUUAUAUUUAAAGGGCCGCGGUAUAUUGACCGUGCAAAGGUAGCAUAAUCAUUAGUCUUUUAAUUGAAGGCUUGUAUGAAUGGUUGAACAAAAAAUAAUCUGUCUUUAACAUAAUUUAUUGAAUUUAACUUUUAAGUAAAAAGGCUUAAAUAUAUUAAAGUGACGAUAAGACCCUAUAAAACUUAAUAAUUUAAAUUUAAAGAGUAUAUUGGUUGUAUAAAAUUUUUUUGAUGUAUAUUAUUUUAUUGGGGCGAUAAAAAUAUAAAAAGUAGCUGUUUUGUUGUUUAAAUGAUUAUUAUUAGAGAUUAAUUUGUUCCUUUAUUAAAGGUUAUAAGAUUAAGUUACUUUAGGGAUAACAGCGUAAUUUUCUUUAAGAGUUCUUAUCUACAAGAAAGAUUGCGACCUCGAUGUUGAAUUAAAAAUUCUUUAAGGUGUAGCAGUUUUAAUGGAAGGUCUGUUCGACCUUUAAUUUUUU